CUGGUGUGGGGGACAUUCCGGCGGGAGAGGCGAGGCGCUGCGUUUCCCUUCAGGAGACAGUUGGCUAGAAGAAGAAAAGAAGUGUUCGUUCAAAUUAAGGAGAGAAAACGGGAGCAGAGCAGCUUUCAGGCGUUCCAUCAAAUUCCCUUUUCUCCUUCCCUCUUGAGAAAGUCUCUGAAGGGAAUGGUUCAGCCUGACGGGGUGGAGCAGUGACGCCCGGGCUACGCGCCAGGGUUGCCUGGCAGCCAGGAGUUCGAGGACCGGCGGCGGGGCGGGGCCUGUCUCCGGGCACCCGGGACGCCCGUAGCCUGGCGGAGAGCGCCAGAGAGGGCCCCUGAAAAACCGGACCAGGGAAGAGGGUACCUCGGGGCGGAUGAGGGGACAGCUGCUAAGGGCCGAGGCUGCUGGGAAGCCUCAGUAGCGGCCGUGAAUACAGUGGAGCUCCGGCGCUGCUUAUUUCGGCCUAACUCUUGGUUUCCUCAUCUGAACAACCCCAGGCUCCCAUGUCUUCCUUAGAUAGCUAUGUGAUCCACCGGACUAAUGAGACAGAAGACAGUGUCCUUUGGAAGACAUUUGUAAAAGAACCCUCCCCCCACCAUUUAAAAAAAAGGAAAAGAAAAAAGGAGAGUUACAGGGGAGUCCUCCUCCUCCCUUCCUUUGCUGUCAUUAUUAGAAUGAUGCUGAACUUCAUGUGUAAGAAUAAACACAUGACAAUAGCCAGGAGAAGCAAGAGGAGGGGCAAGAAAUGAAGGGAUCAUUAAUGGGCAACAUAUUUUUCUAGGACUAUUUAUAAUUGCAACUGUAUUGUGCAAUGUCUGGAAUUAAUCUCAAAGCAAAUAUUG
This 842-nucleotide long non-coding RNA is filed under the name Homo sapiens (human). RNAcentral's name for it is "HSALNT0318396". Lineage: Eukaryota; Metazoa; Chordata; Mammalia; Primates; Hominidae. The record is from RNAcentral.